Arvicanthis niloticus (Nile rat) is the source of this 167-nucleotide non-coding RNA. The record is from RefSeq and is a predicted model, not a curated record. NCBI's taxonomy places the organism in Eukaryota, Metazoa, Chordata, Mammalia, Rodentia, Muridae.
ACACUUAUCUCAUAAAGAAAACAGGAUCAAAACUGUGGGUGUCCAGGGAAAUGGUUAUCCAUUGCACUAUGGAUGUGUUGGCCCCUGUAAUUUUCCCAAAGGCAGGCAGAAAUCUUGAUGGUAUAAUCUGUGGUAGUAUAAGGACUGCAUUUGUGCUCUGUCCUGUG